GCGGGGGUUCCCGAGGGGCCAAAGGGGGCAGGUUCAGGACCUGCUGGAUCAGUCCUCCGUGGGUUCGAAUCCCACCCCCCGCACCA
Molecule: transfer RNA, 86 nt
Filed under: Candidatus Bathyarchaeota archaeon
Lineage: Archaea; Thermoproteati; Candidatus Bathyarchaeota
Also listed under: 1 other name
Description: tRNA-Leu
Rfam family: tRNA
About the family: Transfer RNA (tRNA) molecules are approximately 80 nucleotides in length. Their secondary structure includes four short double-helical elements and three loops (D, anti-codon, and T loops).
Source: RNAcentral